CAGAGCUGCAAAAGCUACCUUAAAACCAUCGCGAAUCUUAUCCCGUACGGUUGCCUUCGGCGCUGGCGGCUCCCUCCGGAGGACCUCAGGGCCCCCGGAUCCUCGGUCUCCCGCUCGAGGAGGGCAGCCGCCGGAGUGCCGAAACUAAACUCUGAUAUUAUAGUGUAUCUCUGAGUACACUAAAUAAGUUA
This 191-nucleotide unclassified non-coding RNA is filed under the name soil metagenome. RNAcentral's name for it is "partial internal transcribed spacer 1". The record is from RNAcentral.